This 117-nucleotide ribosomal RNA is filed under the name Periophthalmus magnuspinnatus. The record is from RNAcentral. Lineage: Eukaryota; Metazoa; Chordata; Actinopteri; Gobiiformes; Gobiidae.
ACAUGUGGCCAUAUUGUCUUGUCAAAGCCUGAUCUCGUCAGAUCUCAGAAGCAAAGCAGGGCUGGGCCUGGUUAGUACUUGAAAGAGAGGCCACUGGGAAUAACAGGUGCCACAGUG